Molecule: transfer RNA, 71 nt
Filed under: Camelus bactrianus (Bactrian camel)
Lineage: Eukaryota; Metazoa; Chordata; Mammalia; Artiodactyla; Camelidae
Also listed under: 1 other name
Rfam family: tRNA
About the family: Transfer RNA (tRNA) molecules are approximately 80 nucleotides in length. Their secondary structure includes four short double-helical elements and three loops (D, anti-codon, and T loops). Further hydrogen bonds mediate the characteristic L-shaped molecular structure. tRNAs have two regions of fundamental functional importance: the anti-codon, which is responsible for specific mRNA codon recognition, and the 3' end, to which the tRNAs corresponding amino acid is attached (by aminoacyl-tRNA synthetases). tRNAs cope with the degeneracy of the genetic code in two manners: having more than one tRNA (with a specific anti-codon) for a particular amino acid; and 'wobble' base-pairing, i.e. permitting non-standard base-pairing at the 3rd anti-codon position.
Source: Rfam by way of RNAcentral
GAGCGUAUAGCUCAGUGGUAGAGUGCUGCUUGGCAUGCACGAGGUCCUGGGUUCAAUCUCCAGUAUAUCCA